Molecule: transfer RNA, 75 nt
Filed under: Candidatus Melainabacteria bacterium RIFCSPLOWO2_02_FULL_35_15
Lineage: Bacteria; Bacillati; Candidatus Melainabacteria
Also listed under: 1 other name
Description: tRNA-Arg
Rfam family: tRNA
About the family: Transfer RNA (tRNA) molecules are approximately 80 nucleotides in length. Their secondary structure includes four short double-helical elements and three loops (D, anti-codon, and T loops).
Source: RNAcentral
GGGCCCUUACCUCAGUCUGGAUAGAGGACAUGGCUACGAACCAUGGCGCCACAGGUUCAAAUCCUGUAGGGCCCG